CUUUGACAAUCGUCAUCAGAUGAUACUCCUAGGAUAUUAUGUUAGACAAUACAUGCAUUUUUUGUUCUAUCAAGUUCAUAUUUAUAUCCAAAAACAGCAUUUUACAUUGGCGCGUGACGUUCAGAAAAUGUAUUUCCCCCAAAACCUACGGUGAAUCAGCACAACAAUUUACAAGAAUACUCAUUAUAAACGUUGAUAAAAUAUUAAACUGUUAUUCAAAGAAUUAUAGAUUAACAUCUCCUGAAUGCAACCGCAUUGACAGAUUUCAAAAUAACUUUACUGGGAAUGCACACUUUGCAAUAAUCUGAGUACUGCGCUACCGGGUUCUGCCUUUCGGGCUUCAUGGGGCACCAGCGACCUUUCAGCGACUCAUGGAUCGAGUCCUGCGGUCGCACAGUGAGUACGCAGCGGCGUAUCUGAAUGACAUAAUUGUGCACAGUGACAAUUGGGAGUCACAUCUGCGUAAGUUACAGGCCGUGAUUGAUGCGCUAAGGGAUGCAGGUCUGACCGCGAACCCCCACAAGUGCAAGCUGGGCUACACCGGAGUGGAGUACCUGGGAUAUCAGAUCGGGUGGGGAAAUGUGAAAUCCCCCCCCAAAAAUCGCUGCCAUUAGGGGAUGGCCGGUCCCCCGAACUAAGAGCUUCUCCCCUCACAGAUCUAUCAAAGGCACGACUACCCCAGACGGUGCAAUGGACGGAGGACACAGAGGAGGCGUUCCAGGCCCUGAAGGAUGUGCUAUGUUCGCACCCGGUACUCGUCACCCCGGACUUCUCAAAGAACCUCCUCGUCCAGACAGACGCGUCUGACACCGGGGUAGGGGCCGUUUUGUCCCAAGAGCAGGAAGAUGGGGAGCACCCCAUCAUGUAUGUCAGCAGGAAAUUCCUCCUGAGGGAGAAGACAUACUCAAUUGUCGAGGAGUGCCUCGCCGUGAAGUGGGCACUCGACACCCUCAAAUAUUACCUCCUCGGGAGGAAGUUCACCCUGAUCACUGACCAUGCCCCCCUCGUGUGGAUGGCACGAGGUAAGGACACGAAUAAGCGUGUCACCCACUGGUUCCUGUCCUUACAGCGAUUCUCUUUCUCUGUCAUCCACAGGUCAGGGGCCCAGCACGGAAAUGCGGACGCCCUAUCCAGGAGGGAUGCAAACCUAGCCCUGAGCAUGCCUCCCUCCCAGUUAGAGCUAAGGGGCUGUGUGUGUGGAAUCCCAGGAGGUCUACCCCGGGGGAUGGUAAUAGAGGGGAGGUACGUGAGACGACGUUGGCUCCCUCUGCUGGGGAUACGGGAGCUGGGCACCCCGACACGGACAUCUAUAAGUGGAGGUAAUUAGAGGAAAGUGCCAACCAGCCGUGGAGGCUAAAUAAAAGGAGCUCGAUGGCACACCGUGAGAGAGAAGGGGGAGAGACGGACACCAGUUAAGAGAGAGAAGAAAGACC
This 1433-nucleotide long non-coding RNA is filed under the name Salmo salar (Atlantic salmon). RNAcentral's name for it is "lncRNA (ENSSSAG00000106702.1)". The record is from RNAcentral. Lineage: Eukaryota; Metazoa; Chordata; Actinopteri; Salmoniformes; Salmonidae.